RNAcentral lists this ribosomal RNA (480 nucleotides) under uncultured bacterium. Its description in RNAcentral is "bacterial SSU rRNA". It matches the Rfam family "Bacterial small subunit ribosomal RNA", at positions 328 to 793 of the family's 1533-position model. The record is from RNAcentral.
UCAGUCGACUCCUACGGGGAGGCAGCAGUGGGGGAAUAUUGCACAAUGGGCGCAAGCCUGAUGCAGCCAUGCCGCGUGUAUGAAGAAGGACCUUCGGGUUGUAAAGUACUUUCAGCAGUGAGGAAGGUGGGGUAUGUUAAUAGCAUACUCAUUUGACGUUAGCUGCAGAAGAAAGCACCGGCUAACUCCGUGCCAGCAGCCGCGGUAAUACGGAGGGUGCGAGCGUUAAUCGGAAUUACUGGGCGUAAAGCGCAUGCAGGUGGUUUGUUAAGUCAGAUGUGAAAGCCCGGGGCUCAACCUCGGAAUUGCAUUUGAAACUGGCAAACUAGAGUACUGUAGAGGGGGGUAGGAAUUUCAGGUGUAGCGGUGAAAUGCGUAGAGAUCUGAAGGAAUACCGGUGGCGAAGGCGGCCCCCUCGGACAGAUACUGACACUCAGAUGCGAAAGCGUGGGGAGCAAACAGGAUUAGAUACCCUGGUAG